This 567-nucleotide ribosomal RNA is filed under the name uncultured bacterium. Its description in RNAcentral is "bacterial SSU rRNA". It matches the Rfam family "Bacterial small subunit ribosomal RNA", at positions 934 to 1498 of the family's 1533-position model. The record is from RNAcentral.
GGAGCAUGUGGUUUAAUUCGAAGAUACGCGAAGAACCUUACCUAGCCUUGACAUUGAUUGAAUACCCUAGAGAUAGAGUAGUGCCCAUCGGGGAACAUGAAAACAGGUGCUGCACGGCUGUCGUCAGCUCGUGUCGUGAGAUGUUGGGUUAAGUCCCGCAACGAGCGCAACCCUCGUCCUUAGUUGCCAGCAGGUUAAGCUGGGCACUUUAAGGAGACUGCCUUCGCAAGGAGGAGGAAGGUGAGGACGACGUCAAGUCAUCAUGGCCCUUAUGGCUAGGGCUACACACGUGCUACAAUGGGGCGUACAGAGAGUUGCGAUACCGCGAGGUGGAGCCAAUCUCAUAAAGCGUCUCUCAGUUCGGAUAGCAGUCUGCAACUCGACUGCUUGAAGCUGGAAUCACUAGUAAUCGUAGAUCAGCAAUGCUACGGUGAAUACGUUCCCGGGUCUUGUACUCACCGCCCGUCACACCAUGGGAGUUGAUUUCACCCGAAAUUGGGAAGCUAACCUUCGGGGGGCUACCACUUACGGUGGAAUUAGCGACUGGGGUGAAGUCGUAACAAGGUA